Sinocyclocheilus grahami is the source of this 265-nucleotide long non-coding RNA. RefSeq lists it as uncharacterized. The record is from RefSeq and is a predicted model, not a curated record. The transcript is spliced from 3 exons. NCBI's taxonomy places the organism in Eukaryota, Metazoa, Chordata, Actinopteri, Cypriniformes, Cyprinidae.
CUUCGUCCUCUACUUUGCACCUACAGAUAUUCAGCGCAUUCCCAAAAAUGGGGUGUUUAUCAUUGAUGAAAGUGGCUCCAUGUCGGACGAAAAAUUGAGCAGAUUCUUACCUACUUUCAGCCAUAUUACGAUUGCACAACUCAGAAACCUCUGACAACCUCUCCUCCGUUGAGGAGCAUUAGGAUCUUGAAAUCUUCUGGUAAUGCUAAGCCACUUUGCUAUGAUGUCCCUCUUGCUCAGAAAGUCAGACUCCAACAGAAUGUCC